GAUGAACGCUGGCGGCGUGCCUAAUACAUGCAAGUCGAGCGAACGGACGAGAAGCUUGCUUCUCUGAUGUUAGCGGCGGACGUGUGAGUAACACGUGGAUAACCUACCUAUAAUACUGGGAUAACUUCGGGACACCGGAGCUAAUACCGUAUGAUAUUUUGAACCGCAUUGUUCAAAAGUGAAAGACGGUCUUGCUGUCACUUAUAGAUGGAUCCGCGCUGCAUUAGCUAGUUGGUAAGGUAACGGCUUACCAAGGCAACGAUGCAUAGCCGACCUGAGAGAGUGAUCGGCCACACUGGAAGUGAGACACGGUCCAGACUCCUACGGGAGGCAGAAGUAGGGACUCUUCCGCAAUGGGCGAAAGCCUGACGGAGCAACGCCGCGUGAGUGAUGAAGGUCUUCGGAUCGUAAAACUCUGUUAUUAGGGAAGAACAUAUGUGUAAGUAACUGUGCACAUCUUGCCGGUACCUAAUAAGAAAGCCAGGGCUAACUACGUG
RNAcentral lists this ribosomal RNA (497 nucleotides) under uncultured bacterium. RNAcentral's name for it is "partial 16S ribosomal RNA". It matches the Rfam family "Bacterial small subunit ribosomal RNA", at positions 28 to 507 of the family's 1533-position model. The record is from RNAcentral.